CCCUUAGAUGUUCUGGGCUGCACGCGCGCUACACUGAUGCGCUCAACGAGUUUACGAACUUGCCCGGAAGGGUUGGUUAAUCUUUUUAAAACGCAUCGUGAUGGGGAUAGAUUAUUGCAAUUAUUAAUCUUCAACGAGGAAUUCCUAGUAAGCGCGAGUCAUCAGCUCGCACUGAUUACGUCCCUGCCCUUUGUACACACCGCCCGUCGCACCUACCGAUUGAAUGGUCCGGUGAAAUCUUCGGAUUGAGACUUUGUUUUCUUCACGGAAAACGCUGUUUUAAAAAGUUGAUUAAACCUUACCAUUUAGAGGAAGGUGAAGUCGUAACA
Molecule: ribosomal RNA, 329 nt
Filed under: uncultured eukaryote
Lineage: Eukaryota
Description: partial 18S ribosomal RNA
Rfam family: Eukaryotic small subunit ribosomal RNA
Source: RNAcentral